CCUUUGUACACACCGCCCGUCGCUACUACCGAUUGAAUGGCUCAGUGAGGCCUUCGGACUGGCUCCAGGAGGUUGGCGACAACCACCCAGAGCCGGAAAGUUGGUCAAACUCGGUCAUUUAGAGG
Molecule: ribosomal RNA, 125 nt
Filed under: Orbiliaceae sp.
Lineage: Eukaryota; Fungi; Ascomycota; Orbiliomycetes; Orbiliales; Orbiliaceae
Description: partial small subunit ribosomal RNA
Rfam family: Eukaryotic small subunit ribosomal RNA
Source: RNAcentral